UUGACGGAGAGUUUGAUCCUGGCUCAGGACGAACGCUGGCGGCGGGCUUAAUACAUGCAAGUCGAACGCAGUCGACCUUCGGGUCACAUGACUGAGUGGCGAACGGGUGAGUAACACGUGAGAAACCUGCCUCGAAGACUGGAAUAACCCGGGGAAACCCGGGCUAAUACCGGAUAUCCCCAGAUGGNCGCAUGGCCGACUGAGGAAAUGCUCCGGCGCUUCGAGAGGGUCUCACGGCCUAUCAGCUAGUUGGUGAGGUAACGGCUCACCAAGGCAUCGACGGGUAGCUGGUCUGAGAGGACGAUCAGCCACACUGGGACUGAGAUACGGCCCAGACUCCUACGGGAGGCAGCAGUAGGGAAUCUUGCGCAAUGGGCGAAAGCCUGACGCAGCCACGCCGCGUGAGUGAUGAAGGCCUUCGGGUCGUAAAGCUCUUUCAGCAGGGACGAAAAUGACGGUACCUGCAGAAGAAGCCCCGGCCAACUACGUGCCAGCAGCCGCGGUAACACGUAGGGGGCAAGCGUUGUCCGGAUUUAUUGGGCGUAAAGGGCUCGUAGGCUGUUCAGUAAGUCAGGUGUGAAAACUCGAGGCUCAACCUCGAGACGCCACUUGAUACUGCUGUGACUUGAGUUCGGUAGAGGAGUGUGGAAUUCCUAGUGUAGCGGUGAAAUGCGCAGAUAUUAGGAGGAACACCAACGGCGAAGGCAGCACUCUGGGCCGAUACUGACGCUGAGGAGCGAAAGCGUGGGGAGCGAACAGGAUUAGAUACCCUGGUAGUCCACGCCGUAAACGUUGGGCACUAG
RNAcentral lists this ribosomal RNA (803 nucleotides) under Acidimicrobiaceae bacterium. RNAcentral's name for it is "bacterial SSU rRNA". It matches the Rfam family "Bacterial small subunit ribosomal RNA", at positions 1 to 819 of the family's 1533-position model. Lineage: Bacteria; Bacillati; Actinomycetota; Acidimicrobiia; Acidimicrobiales; Acidimicrobiaceae. The record is from RNAcentral.